RNAcentral lists this ribosomal RNA (237 nucleotides) under uncultured bacterium. RNAcentral's name for it is "partial 16S ribosomal RNA". It matches the Rfam family "Bacterial small subunit ribosomal RNA", at positions 29 to 252 of the family's 1533-position model. The record is from RNAcentral.
AAUGAACGCUGGCGGCGCGCCUAAUACAUGCAAGUCGAGCGAGAAGACGUAGCAAUACGUUUGUAAAGCGGCGAACGGGUGAGGAAUACAUGGGUAACCUACCCUCGAGUGGGGAAGUAACUAGCCGAAAGGUUAGCUAAUACCGCGUACGCUUCUUGGACUUCGGUUCAGGGAGGGAAAGACGAUACCGUGGGUAGUCGCGCUCUUGGAUGGGCUCAUGUCCUAUCAGCUUGUUGG